Molecule: ribosomal RNA, 149 nt
Filed under: Escherichia coli
Lineage: Bacteria; Pseudomonadati; Pseudomonadota; Gammaproteobacteria; Enterobacterales; Enterobacteriaceae
Also listed under: 1 other name
Description: partial 23S ribosomal RNA
Rfam family: Bacterial large subunit ribosomal RNA (bases 1-131)
Source: RNAcentral
CGAGAUGAGUUCUCCCUGACUCCUUGAGAGUCCUGAAGGAACGUUGAAGACGACGACGUUGAUAGGCCGGGUGUGUAAGCGCAGCGAUGCGUUGAGCUAACCGGUACUAAUGAACCGUGAGGCUUAACCUUACAACGCCGAAGGUGUUU